GCGUGAGCCACCGCACCCAGCCAGAGGGACUUUCAUUAUCUUAUUUUAAGACUUACAAUAGGCUGGCUCUGAGUGCGGUGGUGUUUACAACUAAUUGAUCACAACCAGUUACAGAUUUUUUUGUUUGUUUCUUCUCCACUUCCACUGCUUCACUUGACUAGCUUUAAAAAAAAAGGAAGACAAGAAAUCUAUAGUAUUCAACUUAGUAUGGUAUUGGCAGAAAGGUUGACAUACAGAUCAAUGGCACAGAAUAGAGAAUCCAGAAUAGACCUUGCAUGCAUGGUCAACUUUUUUUCUUUUUAAAGCAUGGGGGUCGAUUCUGUUUUAUUGGGAAAAGAAAGUCUUUUCAAAAAAUGACACUUGAAUAAGUAGAUAUCCACAUUAAAAACAUAUACCUCAAUAUUAAUAUUAAAUUGUACAGAAAAUUACUUUGAUAUCUGUCAUGGACCUAAACAGAAAAACUAAAACUAUAAAAGUUCUAGAAGAAAAUAAAGAAAACAUUUAUUUUGGGACUGGAAAAGAUUACUAGAAAGGACACAGAAAAGUAUUCACCAUAAAAAAUGAUAAAUUAGAUGUUAUCAAAGUUAUAACUGCCUGUUUUCUUAAAGACAUUAAGAAAAUGAAAAGCCAAACCACAGAAUCGAUGAGAAUAUUCACAAUAUAUAUACCUGACAAAGGAUGUAUAGUCGAAAUAUAUAAAGUAUACCUCCAAUUCAAUAAUAACACAACAAACAACUCAAUAAAAAUGGGCAAAAGCUUGAAUAGAUGCUUCACAAAGAGGAUAUGUGAAUAGUCAGUAAGAAUACACAAAAAUGCUCAACAUUGUUAUUCAUCAAAUCUCAUGUAACAAUUGGAUUCAGUUGGAAAUCAAAUAUGCCAAUCAUUAUACUAACAUAGAAACUAUUAAUAUACAGUCUAAGCCAAAUCCAAAUUAAAACCGCAAUGAGAUACUACUUUAUAUCUACUAGACUGGGUAAAAUUUAAAAGGCUGACAAUACUAUUUGUUGACAAGGAUAUAGAGUAACUGGAACUUUUAUAAUUUACUUAAAGAAGAUAAAUUCACAUCUGCUUUGGAAAACAGUGUGGCAGUUUCUUGUAAAUUAAAAAUUCAGUUAAUAUAUGACCUAACAAUCCCACUCUUAGGUAUUUAUCCCAAAGAAAUCACAACCAAUAUCCACAUGUUUGUGCAGGCUUUCACUUCACUGUUUAUAGCUGCUUUAUUACUAAUGGCCAAUAAUUGGAAACUAUCCAAAGGUACAUUGUGGAUGAAUGAACAAACUGUUCUAUUCAUACAGUGGAAUACAAUUCAUAGAUAAAAAGAGAACAAACCAUUAAUAUGUACACUAAUAUAGAUGAAUUUCAAAAAACAUGCUAUGUGAGGAGGUAAUGGGCUCACACAUCUUACUUAAACCCACGGAUGGCCAUCAGUGGCCCAGAGCCCUGAACUUGUCCUAUGUCUGACAUGAGUGAGAGUCCCCCAAAAUCAGUGUAUCAGUGCCAUUUUGGCAAACUAAUCUCAUGUGAUUAUGUGAAAGAAAAACUGUGCUGGUCGGUGAGAGUGAUUUGCCUACCAGGCCACUCUCCUGGAAUUUGACCUGACUGUGGGACUCAAAGACACUCUCCUAGGAGCACAUUUUAGUGUUCCUCAGGGCAUCUGGUGACCCCACAUGUAGGUUAGAUGGAGAGCAUCCAAAAUGGGAGAAGUGGGGCCAGAGUCCAUGCAACUCCUGGUCUGAGCUCAGCGUUCUUUACCUAGAUGACAUUGCUGGCCCCAGCCAGUCCCACACACAAGAGGUGGAUUGAGAAAAUAUUGGGAAACACUCUAAAGUGGUGGCCUCCCUGGGGUGUGGAACCCACACUUCUUGCUUGAGUCUAAGGGCAGUACUGGGAGGGGAAUGUUUGAUUGGUUUAGUGGGCUACUCUUGAUUGACCAGGGUUGACAGUAGAAGAUACUGCCAUCAAACUAGCAUCAAUGUCCUCAACUUAGUAUCACUGCCAAAGGAUUCUGAGCUAGCAGAGGCCAGGUGGCAGCACAUAACUAACAGAGGAAAGGUGUACAUAAUUACCAAAAUGGGGAGGAUUCAGGCAAGUAUACAAAUGGGAGCCCUUGGCACAUACAUAGCUAUCCUAUUUCUCUUUCCACCUGGGGGCCUCACUCACACAUAUGUAUAUAUUCCAAUAUGCACAUUUCAUACUGAACAACCACACAACCCACUUCCUCUG
This 2223-nucleotide long non-coding RNA is filed under the name Homo sapiens (human). RNAcentral's name for it is "HSALNT0138756". The stretch from base 61 to 167 matches the Rfam family "Y RNA". The record is from RNAcentral. Lineage: Eukaryota; Metazoa; Chordata; Mammalia; Primates; Hominidae.